CAACCCGUGCAAUGCACGGGUCCAUAUCUAGUAUGAUAUAAGACAUAGACAUGAAAAAGGUAUGGACCUAUGGUGUUCAAAAUUUUUUUUCACUUUUUUAUGUGAAAACAUUUAUUCCCUUAUGAUCAUAUAAACCAGCGGUGGAGAAAUAUAUCCACUUCAAUCACAUCUAAAACCAAAAUUUACUUAAAGCAAAGUUAAGGAAAAGUUGAUGAUUCUAAGUCUCAAUCAUGAAAAAAAGAUGCUAAAAUCUAACAGUCAGCUAUAUAAUGGAGGUCCAUCCUUAUUGAUAAAAAUAGAGGGAAUAAAAUUUUGAUUUUUGGUGUAAUCACAUCGAUAGGCUUUACUUUUUACUUUUCCUGGCUUUUGCUUUUUAACCCUAAAAGUGAAAAAAAAAAAACAGAGAUUCGAAAGAUCUUUGAUAUGUCUUCAUGAUAGGACAAUCAUCAUCGUCUUCUUGCAUGAAUCCCAUGUACUGCUGAGUGCUGAUUCUAUGCCUCCAAGUUUUCAAGAAAAAAAAGUUUAAAGAUUAAUUCAAGGGAAUAUAAAAAGAGUUGUUGGAUAUAUCACUGCCAUCAUCUUGAUUCAUGAUCGAAAACCGAAAAACGAGUAAGAUGCUGCAUGAGUGUAUGGAACUCAUACAAGUAAGUACUCGCGAGGAUAUAUGUAAGAACUCUGACUCCGUUGGUACAUUUAUAUAUAAUAAAUCUUUUUGUUUAUCGUAAAUACAUUUUUUCGAAUUAUUUCAGUUCGAAAAAUCAAUGAGGCAGGAAAUGUCAAAGUAGAAUUAUCGUUAAAGCGAAUUCAAAGAAUUUGUUCAGUAAACAAUCAUGAGAAAGGUUGAAGUCAUUGGAGCA
Molecule: long non-coding RNA, 857 nt
Organism: Arabidopsis lyrata subsp. lyrata
Lineage: Eukaryota; Viridiplantae; Streptophyta; Magnoliopsida; Brassicales; Brassicaceae
Exons: 2
Source: RefSeq, a predicted model, not a curated record